UACGUAGGGGGCAAGCGUUGUCCGGAUUUAUUGGGCGUAAAGAGCGUGUAGGCGGCCAUACAGGUCAGCUGUGAAAACUCGAGGCUCAACCUCGAGACGUCGGUUGAAACCGUUUGGCUAGAGUCCGGAAGAGGAGAGUGGAAUUCCCGGUGUAGCGGUGAAAUGCGCAGAUAUCGGGAAGAACACCCGUGGCGAAGGCGGCUCUCUGGAACGGUACUGACGCUGAGACGCGAAAGCGUGGGGAGCGAACAGG
This 253-nucleotide ribosomal RNA is filed under the name uncultured bacterium. RNAcentral's name for it is "partial 16S ribosomal RNA". It matches the Rfam family "Bacterial small subunit ribosomal RNA", at positions 524 to 776 of the family's 1533-position model. The record is from RNAcentral.